Long non-coding RNA from Lytechinus variegatus (green sea urchin), 657 nucleotides. RefSeq lists it as uncharacterized. Lineage: Eukaryota; Metazoa; Echinodermata; Echinoidea; Temnopleuroida; Toxopneustidae. The transcript is spliced from 3 exons. The record is from RefSeq and is a predicted model, not a curated record.
CUUUGAUAUGGCAAGGUCAUGGAGGAGAACAGGUGUGAUCUGGGGUGGAUUCCUUGGUGUUGGUGUCUUAUAUAUGACAGAUUGGAGUGUGGUCCUCAAGUAUAUUCCUGUUAUCAACUGGAAAUACACAAAGACGGAUGAUUCGUAACCCAUGUCUUCUGUAGAUGUAUAGAAUAUAUUAUAAGUUAAGACCUUUGUUAUGCAUCCAUCAACAAGCCAGCUUUAUCAUCAAUAAUGCCAGCAGAAACUACUUCUGUGCAGUUGAUUGUCUGGAGUUGCAAAAAUCAUUUAUGGAGAAGCCACAAACUUCAAAGAAGCAAGAAAUAUCAGCGUUUUCAGGAUAUAAAACCAACAAAUUUAAAGAUAUCUCCGUAGUUUUCAUCAGUUUGUGGAGUGAAAUAUUUAUGAAGAUGAAAUGCAUUACAAUUUACCAGUGCUUAAAGCAAUAACACUAUUAUACAAAAUAUGACCGCAGAGGAUUUGCCGACAUUGAAGCAUACCCAUGUCUUAAGUUAUUGAAUAAUGCUGUGAUGCAUAUGAACUCUUUGAAAUGUAGAUAAGGUAAUCGGUUGUUAUGUCUUGGUGGUAAAUCCCCAUGAAAAUGCUUAUGAAUUGAUGUUUUGCAGUAAUAUUGCAGUAAAAUGUAAUUUGAAAUAU